This 460-nucleotide ribosomal RNA is filed under the name uncultured bacterium. RNAcentral describes it as "partial 16S ribosomal RNA". It matches the Rfam family "Bacterial small subunit ribosomal RNA", at positions 338 to 795 of the family's 1533-position model. The record is from RNAcentral.
CCUACGGGCGGCAGCAGUGAGGAAUAUUGGUCAAUGGACGAGAGUCUGAACCAGCCAAGUAGCGUGAAGGAUGACUGCCCCAUGGGUUGUAAACUUCUUUUAUAUGGGAAUAAAAUGUUCCACGUGUGGGAUUUUGUAUGUACCAUAUGAAUAAGGAUCGGCUAACUCCGUGCCAGCAGCCGCGGUAAUACGGAGGAUCCGAGCGUUAUCCGGAUUUAUUGGGUUUAAAGGGAGCGUAGGUGGAUUGUUAAGUCAGUUGUGAAAGUUUGCGGCUCAACCGUAAAAUUGCAGUUGAAACUGGCAGUCUUGAGUACAGUAGAGGUGGGCGGAAGUCGUGGUGUAGCGGUGAAAUGCUUAGAUAUCACGAAGAACUCCGAUUGCGAAGGCAGUUCACUGGACUGCAACUGACACUGAGGCUCGAAAGUGUGGGUAUCAAACAAGAUUAGAUACCCCAGUAGUC